Molecule: ribosomal RNA, 482 nt
Filed under: uncultured bacterium
Lineage: Bacteria
Description: partial 16S ribosomal RNA
Rfam family: Bacterial small subunit ribosomal RNA
Source: RNAcentral
AUUGAACGCUGGCGGCAUGCUUUACACAUGCAAGUCGAACGGUAACAGCACUUCGGUGGCUGACGAGUGGCGAACGGGUGAGUAAUACAUCGGAACGUGCCUAGUAGUGGGGGAUAACUACUCGAAAGAGUAGCUAAUACCGCAUGAGAUCUAAGGAUGAAAGCAGGGGACCUUCGGGCCUUGCGCUACUAGAGCGGCUGAUGGCAGAUUAGGUAGUUGGUGGGAUAAAAGCUUGCCAAGCCGACGAUCUGUAGCUGGUCUGAGAGGACGACCAGCCACACUGGGACUGAGACACGGCCCAGACUCCUACGGGAGGCAGCAGUGGGGAAUUUUGGACAAUGGGCGCAAGCCUGAUCCAGCAAUGCCGCGUGCAGGAUGAAGGCCUUCGGGUUGUAAACUGCUUUUGUACGGAACGAAAAGCCCUCUUCUAAUACAGGAGGGUCAUGACGGUACCGGAAGAAUAAGCACCGGCUAACUACGUG